RNAcentral lists this unclassified non-coding RNA (447 nucleotides) under uncultured Bordetella sp. RNAcentral describes it as "partial 16S-23S ribosomal RNA intergenic spacer". It matches the Rfam family "Bacterial small subunit ribosomal RNA", at positions 340 to 792 of the family's 1533-position model. Lineage: Bacteria; Pseudomonadati; Pseudomonadota; Betaproteobacteria; Burkholderiales; Alcaligenaceae. The record is from RNAcentral.
UACAGGACGCAGCAGUGGGGAAUUUUGGACAGUAAGAAACCUGAUCCAGCCAUCCCGCGUGUACGAUGAAGACCUUCGGUUAUCGCCCACUUUUGGCAGGAAAGAAACAGCCAGGAUAUGCAAUGCAGCAAACAUUACCUGCAGAAUAGCACCAGCUAACUACGUGCCAGCAGCCGCGGUAAUACGUGGUCGCAAGCGCUAAUCGGAAUUACUGGGCGUAAAGCGUGCGCAGGCAGUUCGGAAAGAAAAGAUGUGAAAUCCCGAGCUUAACUUUGGAACUGCAUUUUUAACUACCGAGCUAGAGUGUGUCAGAGGUGGAAUUCCGCGUGUAGCAGUGAAAUGCGUAGAUAUGCGGAGAACACCGAUGGCAGAGAGCAGCCUCACUGGGAUAACACUGACGCUCAUGCACGAAAGCAUUAAGAGGCGACGGGAUUAGAUACCCUCAUG